Molecule: ribosomal RNA, 849 nt
Filed under: bacterium
Lineage: Bacteria
Description: bacterial SSU rRNA
Rfam family: Bacterial small subunit ribosomal RNA
Source: RNAcentral
UGAUUCAUGGCUCAGGACGAACGCUGGCGGCGUGCUUAACACAUGCAAGUCGAACGCUGAAGCACCAGCUUGCUGGUGUGGAUGAGUGGCGAACGGGUGAGUAAUACGUGAGUAACCUGCCCUUGACUCUGGGAUAAGCCCGGGAAACUGGGUCUAAUACUGGAUGCUACAUGUCACCGCAUGGUGGUGUGUGGAAAGGGUUUACUGGUCUUGGAUGGGCUCACGGCCUAUCAGCUUGUUGGUGAGGUAAUGGCUCACCAAGGCGACGACGGGUAGCCGGCCUGAGAGGGUGACCGGCCACACUGGGACUGAGACACGGCCCAGACUCCUACGGGAGGCAGCAGUGGGGAAUAUUGCACAAUGGGCGAAAGCCUGAUGCAGCGACGCCGCGUGAGGGAUGACGGCCUUCGGGUUGUAAACCUCUUUCAGCAGGGAAGAAGCCACAAGUGACGGUACCUGCAGAAGAAGCGCCGGCUAACUACGUGCCAGCAGCCGCGGUAAUACGUAGGGCGCAAGCGUUGUCCGGAAUUAUUGGGCGUAAAGAGCUCGUAGGCGGUUUGUCGCGUCUGCUGUGAAAGCCCGGGGCUUAACCCCGGGUGUGCAGUGGGUACGGGCAGACUAGAGUGCAGUAGGGGAGACUGGAAUUCCUGGUGUAGCGGUGGAAUGCGCAGAUAUCAGGAGGAACACCGAUGGCGAAGGCAGGUCUCUGGGCUGUUACUGACGCUGAGGAGCGAAAGCAUGGGGAGCGAACAGGAUUAGAUACCCUGGUAGUCCAUGCCGUAAACGUUGGGCACUAGGUGUGGGGGACAUUCCACGUUUUCCGCGCCGUAGCUAACGCAUUAAGUGCCC